UGCGCCGUAGAACAGCGGUGGUAGUUCGGCAGGCUCAUAACCUGCAGGUCGCCCGUUCGACUCGGGCCGGCGCAACCA
RNAcentral lists this transfer RNA (78 nucleotides) under Burkholderiales bacterium. Its description in RNAcentral is "tRNA-Met". It matches the Rfam family "tRNA". From Rfam's summary of the family: Transfer RNA (tRNA) molecules are approximately 80 nucleotides in length. Their secondary structure includes four short double-helical elements and three loops (D, anti-codon, and T loops). Further hydrogen bonds mediate the characteristic L-shaped molecular structure. tRNAs have two regions of fundamental functional importance: the anti-codon, which is responsible for specific mRNA codon recognition, and the 3' end, to which the tRNAs corresponding amino acid is attached (by aminoacyl-tRNA synthetases). tRNAs cope with the degeneracy of the genetic code in two manners: having more than one tRNA (with a specific anti-codon) for a particular amino acid; and 'wobble' base-pairing, i.e. permitting non-standard base-pairing at the 3rd anti-codon position. The record is from RNAcentral. Lineage: Bacteria; Pseudomonadati; Pseudomonadota; Betaproteobacteria; Burkholderiales.